UCCUACGCGGAGGCAGCAGUAGGGAAUCUUCCGCAAUGGACGAAAGUCUGACGGAGCAACGCCGCGUGAGUGAUGAAGGCUUUCGGGUCGUAAAACUCUGUUGUUAGGGAAGAACAAGUGCUAGUUGAAUAAGCUGGCACCUUGACGGUACCUAACCAGAAAGCCACGGCUAACUACGUGCCAGCAGCCGCGGUAAUACGUAGGUGGCAAGCGUUAUCCGGAAUUAUUGGGCGUAAAGCGCGCGCAGGUGGUUUCUUAAGUCUGAUGUGAAAGCCCACGGCUCAACCGUGGAGGGUCAUUGGAAACUGGGAGACUUGAGUGCAGAAGAGGAAAGUGGAAUUCCAUGUGUAGCGGUGAAAUGCGUAGAGAUAUGGAGGAACACCAGUGGCGAAGGCGACUUUCUGGUCUGUAACUGACACUGAGGCGCGAAAGCGUGGGGAGCAAACAGGAUUAGAUACCCUGGUAGUCCACGCCGUAAACGAUGAGUGCUAAGUGUUAGAGGGUUUCCGCCCUUUAGUGCUGAAGUUAACGCAUUAAGCACUCCGCCUGGGGAGUACGGCCGCAAGGCUGAAACUCAAAGGAAUUGACGGA
Molecule: ribosomal RNA, 591 nt
Filed under: uncultured Bacillus sp.
Lineage: Bacteria; Bacillati; Bacillota; Bacilli; Caryophanales; Bacillaceae
Description: bacterial SSU rRNA
Rfam family: Bacterial small subunit ribosomal RNA
Source: RNAcentral